AAAGUGGAAGAUGGAAAUUACUUGGGGACAUCUAAAAGCAAAAAAACAGGAACUUCUGAAGUUAGCAAAGAGCAAAAAAUCUCGAAAAUAUCGAAAGGAUCAACAUCAGCUCCAGAAUCAGCAAAGAGGAAGAUAACAACUGUAGCAGCUCUAAUAUAUACAUAUACAUCUCUGUACACAAAUGCAAGAACUUCUGAAGUCAGCAAAGAGCAAAAAAUCUCGAAAAUAUCGAAAGGAUCAACAUCAGCUCCAGAAUCAGCAAAGAGGAAGAUAACAACUGUAGCAGGUCAAGACAAAGCCCUGAUUGAGUCAUACAACAAAGAGAUAGUAGACAAACAUAAUACAUCAAAUGAAUCAGAUCUUGUGCAGGGGCAAGUCUCAAUUAUUACUGGAACACCAAAAGCAUUCCAGCCAAGUGAAUUUGAGUAUUCAAUGCAGUCAGCUGUCAAUACAACAAGAGGAGAUAAUAGAUCAGCUGACAUAAUCAUGCAGGGUGAUCAAAAUGGUGAUUCAGAUGAUUCAGAGAAUGAACAAAAUCCAGUAGACCCAUGGUCACUAGAUAUUUUAAGUAUGGCUGCAAAUGACAAGCUACCACACCACAAGCAAACAAUAAAUGGGGAGGUCACCAGAGUAACUUUUAAGUGCAACAGGUUUGGGAAAGAGAAUUCAAAGAAAAAGAAACAACAAACAGAGGAGACAGUUGUUUCAAAGAGGAAUACAAAUCAGGUCAUUCUCACAGAUUACUGCUCAACUCUCAGGUUCAAUAUCCUCUCAAGAAGAAGUGCUGAAUUUGCUUCAAAAGGGGCCAAAACAACUAAAUCAUAUGAGUUCAUGAUGCAACAAUUUGAUAUGAUUGAUAAAGCUUGGAAAAAUAGGAGUCCAGAAGAGACAAGGCAACAGCAAAGCAGUACAGAAAACCAGAACAAUGCAAAUUCAGCUUCAGAAGUUGAUCAUGUUGAAGUAGAAAAUACAACAGUUAAUGAACUUCAGAUAUUGGAUCCAGAUAUAGCAAAAUCAAAGGGAAGACCACAACAGCGAUACAAAACUAUUAGGGAACAAAUAGAAGAAAAACAUGUGAAUCACUAUAGUCACUGUGGAAGAACAGAUCACACAUUUCCAAGCUGCCCAUUGAAACACAUAGAGUUCAAUUUAGCAAAGAAAAAAAAGGAAAACAAAAAACCAAGUGGAACAGGAAAAGAUUCAAGACAACAUGUUGAAGAAAUUAAAAACUCCAAGUAA
RNAcentral lists this long non-coding RNA (1239 nucleotides) under Oryza sativa tropical japonica subgroup. Its description in RNAcentral is "lncRNA OsAzu_01g0038710". The record is from RNAcentral. Lineage: Eukaryota; Viridiplantae; Streptophyta; Magnoliopsida; Poales; Poaceae.